AGUUUUUUGAGGCAAAGUUUACAGAAGAAAUUAUUCGAUUUUCAUAUACACGUUCGAAGGUAUGUAUAUGUUCAACAGUAAAUAUAUCUCUUCUAAUGUAAUGUAUCUCUUCUUCGUGGAAUGUCCAUUCAAGGUUUUCUAACAUUUGAUUAUUUCCUCUCAUGUAGUCCUUCCGACAGUUUGUUGUUGACGUUCUUGCUUAAACCAGUAAAUUGUGUCAUACGAACGCGGAACGCCACGACUUUAUAGUCCGAAUGUAAGUAUAUAUUUUGCUGUUUGGUUAUAUGCUUUUACUGUAUUGCUGUCUUGUCAGUUGACCUUUAAUAUUUUCCUUUAAUAAACGAGAAAUUUUAAACACAAUAGUAGGCUUUCAUGGCAUGGACACAGCAUGAUGGAUUUUUUUCAAAAGGGCAUGUCUUAAAAACCGGUAAAUAUUGUAGCUCAUACAUUGCAUUACAGUAAAAUGGAUUCUUAAUCUGAGUAUUAUCAUAUUUUAACUGCAUACAUUCAACAUGUUUGCUGCAUAUUAUAGACUCGUUUUUGAUCAUAAACGUUGCUGUAACAUGAGAACUAUAGGGAAAUUUGAAUAUAUAAGGCGCUUAGUUUGAAUAAUUUUGUGUUUGUUUUUUCCAAGAUGCUAAAUAACGUACAUAGCUGUUGUUAUACAAUCAUUUAUGAAUUCGUUUCAUUGAAUCUUUUCCAACACAAAAACCAAUAGCGUAUUGGAAAAUUUGCGCGACUUUUAUAUUUCAGAGCACGAUCGAAUCCGUUGAGUCAGUGAAGUGUCUGUUUCUAACAUGCAAAUUGUUUGCACUUUUAGAAAACGGCUGAUGCGUCUGCAGGUAAAGAUGGCCAAAAUAAAGAGUGACUCGAGUCUGUUGCACGAAAGUAUAACGUUCUUUUAUGCCGGUUUUCCACUAGCGAAUUUUUUCGUGCGAAACGACAUUUAUAUGGUUAAAAUUUAGAAGACUUUAUCAUAAGGUGAUAAGUAAUUUUACAUAAGUUCCAGCUGACUGAGCAGAGAGCUCAUAAGCCAAAAGAAUAUAUAGUCUGUUCGCGCGACAAAAUUCACUUUAGCUUCUAUAAUCUCUAGACUAUAUUACCUUUGUCCAAAUAUCGUUGUAUUCUACCAUCAUAAAUAUCUAUAUCUUGGACUAUUUUCUCCUUUAUCUUUUAUCUUUACGUAAAUAAUAUUAUAUUAUAUUAUAUUAUGAUUUAUGUAUUUAUAUGUAUGUAUUUUUAUGUAUGAACGUUUCCCUGC
This is a non-coding RNA of Paramuricea clavata, 1261 nucleotides long. Lineage: Eukaryota; Metazoa; Cnidaria; Anthozoa; Malacalcyonacea; Plexauridae. The record is from the annotation of a GenBank genome assembly.